GGGUGGAGGCCGGAUCCUGGGCUGUGUCCCCGGUGCCCUGUGCUCUCGGGCCUGCGCUGUUGGAAUCGCGCUCCCGGCUGUGCAGCCCCCA
Molecule: microRNA precursor, 91 nt
Filed under: Canis lupus familiaris (dog)
Lineage: Eukaryota; Metazoa; Chordata; Mammalia; Carnivora; Canidae
Also listed under: 1 other name
Description: mir-8799 microRNA precursor family
Rfam family: mir-8799 microRNA precursor family
Source: Rfam by way of RNAcentral